GGCGAACGGGUGAGUAACACGUAGGCGAUCCACCUUACAGUGGGGAACAACUGCUCGAAAGGGCAGCUAAUACCGCAUAAGGUCUAGCGGGAGCUAGAAGAAAGGGACGCGAGUCCCGCUGAAAGAGGAGCCUGCGGCCGAUUAGCUAGUUGGUGAGGUAACGGCCCACCAAGGCGAUGAUCGGUAGCUGGUCUGAGAGGACGAUCAGCCACACUGGAACUGGGACACGGUCCAGACUCCUACGGGAGGCAGCAGUAAGGAAUAUUGCACAAUGGGGGAAACCCUGAUGCAGCAACGCCGCGUGAGUGACGAAGGCCUUCGGGUUGUAAAACUCUUUUCUGAGGGAUGAGGAAGGACAGUACCUUAGGAAUAAGUCUCGGCUAACUACGUGCCAGCAGCCGCGGUAAAACGUAGGAGGCGAGCGUUAUCCGGAUUUACUGGGCGUAAAGGGCAAGUAGGCGGUGGUUCAAGUUGGGCGUGACAGAUCCUGGCUUAACUGGGAGAGGUCGUUCAAAACUGGAUCACUAGAGGGCAGGAGAGGGGAGCGGAAUUCCUAGUGUAGCGGUGGAAUGCUCAGAUAUUAGGAAGAACACCAGUGGCGAAAGCGGCUUUCUGGCCUGCACCUGACGCUGAAGGGCGAAAGCUAGGGGAGCGAACGGGCUUAGAUACCCCGGUAGUCCUAGC
This 684-nucleotide ribosomal RNA is filed under the name uncultured bacterium. Its description in RNAcentral is "bacterial SSU rRNA". It matches the Rfam family "Bacterial small subunit ribosomal RNA", at positions 97 to 800 of the family's 1533-position model. The record is from RNAcentral.